Molecule: ribosomal RNA, 253 nt
Filed under: uncultured bacterium
Lineage: Bacteria
Description: partial 16S ribosomal RNA
Rfam family: Bacterial small subunit ribosomal RNA
Source: RNAcentral
GACGUAGGGCGCGAGCGUUGUCCGGAUUUAUUGGGCGUAAAGAGCUCGUAGGCGGCUUGUUGCGUCGGCUGUGAAAACCCAUGGCUCAACCGUGGGCUUGCAGCCGAUACGGGCAGGCUAGAGUUCGGUAGGGGAGACUGGAAUUCCUGGUGUAGCGGUGAAAUGCGCAGAUAUCAGGAGGAACACCGGUGGCGAAGGCGGGACUCUGGGCCGAAAUUGACGCUGAGGAGCGAAAGCGUGGGGAGCAAACAGG